AAAAGUUAUGUAAGGGCGUAUGGGGGAUGCCUAGGCUCUCAGAGGCGAAGAAGGACGUGAUAAGCUGCGAAAAGUUGCGUGUAUUGGCACAUACGAUAUGAUACGCAAAUCUCCGAAUGGGGCAACCCAGUACAUUGAAGAUGUACUACACCGUAAAGGUGGGCAAACCUGCUGAACUGAAACAUCUUAGUAGGCAGAGGAGAAGAAAACAAAAGUGAUUCCCAAAGUAGUGGCGAGCGAAAUGGGAAUAGCCCAAACCCAUAUUGUUACGGCAAUAUGGGGGUAGUAGGACCCAGAUAUAGGUUGUAAAGCUGGAUUAGAAGUGUUUGGAAAGACACACCAUAGAGAGUGAAAGUCUCGUAUAGGUACAGUUUUAUAAAUCUUAUGGGAAUCCUGAGUAGGUCGGGGCACGAGGAACCUUGACUGAAUCAGCCGGGACCAUCCGGUAAGGCUAAAUACUCCUGAGAGACCGAUAGUGAACUAGUACCGUGAGGGAAAGGUGAAAAGAACCGUGAAUAACGGAGUGAAACAGACCCUGAAACCAUACGCUUACAAGCGGUUGGAGCAGCUUUAGGCUGUGACAGCGUGCCUUUUGCAUAAUGAGCCUACGAGUUACUGUUACCAGCGAGGAUAAGUAUUUCAGAUACGAAUCCGCAGCGAAAGCGAGUCUGAAUAGGGCGCAAAUAGUUGGUAGUAGUAGACGCGAAACCUGGUGAUCUACCCUUGGGCAGGUUGAAGCGCUGGUAACACAGCGUGGAGGACCGAACUGGUUGUCGUUGAAAAGACUUCGGAUGACCUGAGGGUAGGGGUGAAAGGCCAAUCAAACUGGGAAAUAGCUCGUACUCCCCGAAAUGCAUUUAGGUGCAGCGUUGAUGCGAGUUUAAUAGAGGUAGAGCUACUGAUUGGAUGCGGGGGUUUCAUCGCCUACCAAUUCCUGACAAACUCCGAAUGCUAUUAAAUGCUCAUCAGCAGUGAGGGUAUGGGUGCUAAGGUCCAUAUCCUAAAGGGAAAGAACCCGGACCAUCAGCUAAGGUCCCCAAAUAUAUGCUAAGUUGACCAAACGCGGUCUGACUGCACUGACAGCUAGGAUGUUGGCUUGGAAGCAGCCAUACAUUUAAAGAGUGCGUAACAGCUCACUAGUCGAGCGGUUGGGCAUGGAUAAUAAACGGGCAUAAGCAUAUUACCGAAGCUAUGGGGUAGUACAGAAGUACCUACCGGUAGGGGAGCAUUCUAUAGGCGUAGAAGCUAAAGUUGUGAGACAUAGUGGAGCUGAUAGAAAAGAAAAUGUAGGCAUAAGUAACGAUAAGGCAGGCGAGAAACCUGCCCGCCGAAAGAUCAAGGUUUCCUCACUAUGCUAAUCAGCUGAGGGUUAGUCGGGGACUAACGCGCACCCGAGCAGGGAAGUGGAUGUACAACAGGUUAAUAUUCCUGUACCAUUAAUCUGAUAAAAGUGACGGAACGAGAUAACUACCGCGUACUGACGGAAUAGUACGUUAAAGGAGCAGUUAUAGCUUUGAUAGUACACUGAGGCUUCGGUCGAGGUGAUAGAGUGGUGACAACGUUUCCAAGAAAAGCGAAGAUUAAUGCCCGUACCGUAAACCGACACAGGUGAUUGGGAAGAGAAUUCUAAGGCGCUCGAGAGAUUCAUGGCUAAGGAACUAGGCAAAAUAGACCUGUAACUUCGGGAGAAAGGUCGCCUAUCUAGCGAUAGGCCGCAGUGAAGAGGUCCAAGCGACUGUUUAUCAAAAACACAGGACUCUGCAAAUCGAAAGAUGAGGUAUAGGGUCUGACACCUGCCCGGUGCUGGAAGGUUAAGAGGAGAGCUUAGUGGCAACACGAAGGUUUAAAUUGAAGCCCCAGUAAACGGCGGCCGUAACUAUAACGGUCCUAAGGUAGCGAAAUUCCUUGUCGGGUAAGUUCGACCUGCACGAAUGGUGUAACGAUUUGGACACUGUCUCGGCCAUGAGCUCGGUGAAAUUGUAGUAUCGGUGAAGAUGCCGAUUACCCGCAGUGGGACGAAAAGACCCUGUGCACCUUUACUAUAUCUUCGUAUUGGUCUUGGAUAAGUGAUGCGUAGGAUAGGUGGGAGACUUAGAAGCAGCUAUUCUGGUAGUUGUGGAGUCGUUGUUGAAAUACCACC
Molecule: ribosomal RNA, 2140 nt
Filed under: Capnocytophaga ochracea
Lineage: Bacteria; Pseudomonadati; Bacteroidota; Flavobacteriia; Flavobacteriales; Flavobacteriaceae
Description: bacterial LSU rRNA
Rfam family: Bacterial large subunit ribosomal RNA
Source: RNAcentral